UCCCUGGUGGCUCAGAUGGUAAAAGUGUCUGCCUGCAAUGCGGGAGACCCGGGUUUGAUUCCUGGGUCGGGAA
Molecule: transfer RNA, 73 nt
Filed under: Ovis aries (sheep)
Lineage: Eukaryota; Metazoa; Chordata; Mammalia; Artiodactyla; Bovidae
Rfam family: tRNA
About the family: Transfer RNA (tRNA) molecules are approximately 80 nucleotides in length.
Source: Rfam by way of RNAcentral